UUGAUUGCGAAUUGUUGCCUUCAGUGCUGGCCGGUUUCGGCAUGUGCACGCUGGUGACUUUCAUCCAAUACCCUGUGAACCUUUGGCCUCUUGCUAGCUUUGGCCGGCAGAGGAUUUUUACACAAACUCGAAUGUAAUGAAAUUUAUUGUCGUGCGCAAGCACUAAUGUACAACUUUCAACAACGGAUCUCUUGGCUCUCGCAUCGAUGAAGAACGCAGCGAAAUGCGAUAAGUAAUGUGAAUUGCAGAAUUCAGUGAAUCAUCGAAUCUUUGAACGCACCUUGCACCCUUUGGCAUUCCGAAGGGUAUGCUCGUUUGAGUGUCAUUGUACUCUCACACUCCUGAUGCUUUUUGGAUCGCGAGUGGUGGACUUGGGUGUUGCUGCUUUACUGUGGCUCACCUCAAAUGGAGUAGUGCAACUCUUGGUUGGACAUAGUACGGCGUGAUAAGUGUCUUCGCCGGCGCCUCAUUAGAGGGUGGCUGAUCGGGAGCUCUGUGCUUCAAACCGUCUUCGGACAACAUCUGACAACUUGACCUCAAAUCGAGUAGGACUAC
RNAcentral lists this small RNA (555 nucleotides) under uncultured Sebacina. Its description in RNAcentral is "eukaryotic LSU rRNA". The stretch from base 172 to 325 matches the Rfam family "5.8S ribosomal RNA". The record is from RNAcentral. Lineage: Eukaryota; Fungi; Basidiomycota; Agaricomycetes; Sebacinales; Sebacinaceae.